This 22-nucleotide microRNA is filed under the name Equus caballus (horse). RNAcentral's name for it is "eca-miR-1911". Lineage: Eukaryota; Metazoa; Chordata; Mammalia; Perissodactyla; Equidae. The record is from miRBase by way of RNAcentral.
CACCAGCCAUUGUGGUCUCUGC